Molecule: long non-coding RNA, 202 nt
Filed under: Ananas comosus (pineapple)
Lineage: Eukaryota; Viridiplantae; Streptophyta; Magnoliopsida; Poales; Bromeliaceae
Description: long non-coding RNA (ACOM_LNC012703)
Source: RNAcentral
UUUACUGUAGCUUUCAUUAUCAUCUCUACGUAACGCUGUAACUAUAUAUAUCAUAAAAAUCAAAUUAAUUAAUGGUCUCACUAACAUAAUCGACACGACAAGAUAACUUUCCCCUCAGAUAGUUUUAUUUAAUUAGACGUUUUUCUAAGCAAGAAACCUAUCAUUUCUUUAUUUUUUUUCAAAAAAAAAUUCUUUUUCAACU